This 253-nucleotide ribosomal RNA is filed under the name uncultured bacterium. RNAcentral's name for it is "partial 16S ribosomal RNA". It matches the Rfam family "Bacterial small subunit ribosomal RNA", at positions 524 to 776 of the family's 1533-position model. The record is from RNAcentral.
UACAGAGGGUGCGAACGUUGCUCGGAAUUACUGGGCGUAAAGCGCGUGUAGGCGGCGCGGUAAGUCGGGUGUGAAAUCUUGGAGCUUAACUCCGAAACUGCAUUCGAUACUGGCGUGCUUGAGGACGGGAGAGGAGACUGGAAUUCAUGGUGUAGCAGUGAAAUGCGUAGAGAUCAGGAGGAAGACCAGUGGCGAAGGCGGGUCUCUGGACAGUUCCUGACACUGAGACACGAAGGCCAGGGGAGCAAACGGG